GGCCGCGGGAAUUCGAUUUUGGAGGGCAAGUCUGGUGCCAGCAGCCGCGGUAAUUCCAGCUCCAAUAGCGUAUAUUAAAGUUGUUGCAGUUAAAAAGCUCGUAGUUGAACCUUGGGUCUGGCUGGCCGGUCCGCCUCACCGCGAGUACUGGUCCGGCUGGACCUUUCCUUCUGGGGAACCCCAUGGCCUUCACUGGCUGUGGGGGGAACCAGGACUUUUACUGUGAAAAAAUUAGAGUGUUCAAAGCAGGCCUUUGCUCGAAUACAUUAGCAUGGAAUAAUAGAAUAGGACGUGCGGUUCUAUUUUGUUGGUUUCUAGGACCGCCGUAAUGAUUAAUAGGGAUAGUCGGGGGCGUCAGUAUUCAGCUGUCAGAGGUGAAAUUCUUGGAUUUGCUGAAGACUAACUACUGCGAAAGCAUUCGCCAAGGAUGUUUUCAUUAAUCAGGGAACGAAAGUUAGGGGAUCGAAGACGAUCAGAUACCGUCGUAGUCUUAACCAUAAACUAUGCCGACUAGGGAUCGGAUGAUGUUAAUUUUUUAAUGACUCAUUCGGCGCCUUACGGGAAACAAUCACUA
RNAcentral lists this ribosomal RNA (574 nucleotides) under Aspergillus cervinus. Its description in RNAcentral is "SSU rRNA". It matches the Rfam family "Eukaryotic small subunit ribosomal RNA", at positions 531 to 1105 of the family's 1831-position model. Lineage: Eukaryota; Fungi; Ascomycota; Eurotiomycetes; Eurotiales; Aspergillaceae. The record is from RNAcentral.